AACGAGCGCUGGCGGCAUGCCUAACACAUGCAAGUCGAACGAGACCUUCGGGUCUAGUGGCGCACGGGUGCGUAACGCGUGGGAACCUGCCCUUAGGUUCGGAAUAACUCCCCGAAAGGGGUGCUAAUACCGGAUAAUGUCUUCGGACCAAAGAUUUAUCGCCUUUGGAUGGGCCCGCGUUGGAUUAGCUAGUUGGUAGGGUAAAAGCCUACCAAGGCGACGAUCCAUAGCUGGUCUGAGAGGAUGAUCAGCCACGCUGGGACUGAGACACGGCCCAGACUCCUACGGGAGGCAGCAGUGGGGAAUAUUGGACAAUGGGCGAAAGCCUGAUCCAGCAAUGCCGCGUGAGUGAUGAAGGCCUUAGGGUUGUAAAGCUCUUUUACCCGGGAUGAUAAUGACAGUACCGGGAGAAUAAGCUCCGGCUAACUCCGUG
RNAcentral lists this ribosomal RNA (433 nucleotides) under uncultured bacterium. RNAcentral describes it as "partial 16S ribosomal RNA". It matches the Rfam family "Bacterial small subunit ribosomal RNA", at positions 29 to 507 of the family's 1533-position model. The record is from RNAcentral.